AAAAAAAAACAAAAAAACAAAAGAGAAGAAUUCAAUUCCUUGUUUGCCUUUCCACCCCCUUUCAAAACCACCCCUCUGCGUGUACGCUGCAGAAUUAAUUAGAUGUAAAGAGAUAUUUGAUCAAUCAUAAGAAACCCCUAUAGCAUUUUCUCCUUUACCUCAUCACGGUCUAAUGGGAUUCUCUUUUUGAGCCAAUCGAACGCACACCGAAAGAAAAACAAGAGAUAACCACUGAAAAUCACCAACCAUGGGAGGUAAUAUUUUAUUUCUAUGUCUCUGGAUCAUUUUAGAGAAUUAAGUUUCCUGUUUUUGCUUAUUUCUACGGUUUUUAUUUUUGGGGUACAUACAUAUUACAUUGAGAGGCAUGCUUAUUAUUUUUGGGGUAGGUGUGUAUUAGAAUGUGAAUUGUAUAGUAGACAAUCGGGUUGCUUUGCAUCAGCCAGAUGCGUUUUGUGCAAUCAUAGAAGUAACUGUUAGAAUUUCUAGCCUCGUAUGAGUUUAGGGUGUUUGGUUGCUGAGACAGUUGAGGAAUAAUGUGAGAUACGAGGUUUUCAGAUUGUAAGUUUUUCUGUUGGAAGUAGUGGAAAAGUUUUGGAUAGAGAUGUUUCCCUCUUUCCCUUACUACAUUAUCUCGUAAACAAAAUUAAUUGGCAGUAUUCAGGUCAACGUCUUUUUCCAUGGUAAUUAAUAGAUGACAGAAUUUUCAUUGAUUUGUGUUUGUUAUCUGUGUGAUGCAAAUUAUUUUUUGGGGAAUGCUAUGGUUCUUUUCUUAUGAUAGAACAUAUGGUGUUCCUCUUCAAGUGUUCUUGAAAUUUGGAUGGAAUGUAUCAACUACAUAAUAAUUUUGCGAAG
This 852-nucleotide unclassified non-coding RNA is filed under the name Hevea brasiliensis (rubber tree). The record is from RNAcentral. Lineage: Eukaryota; Viridiplantae; Streptophyta; Magnoliopsida; Malpighiales; Euphorbiaceae.